AGAGUUUGAUCCUGGCUCAGGAUGAACGCUGGCGGCGUGCUUAACACAUGCAAGUCGAACGAAGAUAUUAAGAAUGAGAGCUUCGGCAGGAAUUUUUUCUAUCUUAGUGGCGGACGGGUGAGUAACGUGUGGGCAACCUGCCCUGCACUGGGGAAUAAUCAUUGGAAACGAUGACUAAUACCGCAUACGGUUCCUGGGAGGCAUCUUCCGGGAAAGAAAGGAUUUAUUCGGUGCAGGGAUGGGCCCGCAUCUGAUUAGCUAGUUGGUGAGAUAACAGCCCACCAAGGCGACGAUCAGUAGCCGACCUGAGAGGGUGACCGGCCACAUUGGGACUGAGACACGGCCCAAACUCCUACGGGAGGCAGCAGUGGGGAAUAUUGCACAAUGGGCGAAAGCCUGAUGCAGCAACGCCGCGUGAAGGAAGAAGGGUUUCGGCUCGUAAACUUCUAUCAACAGGGACGAAAGAAAUGACGGUACCUGAAUAAGAAGCCCCGGCUAACUACGUGCCAGCAGCCGCGGUAAUACGUAGGGGGCAAGCGUUAUCCGGAAUUACUGGGUGUAAAGGGUGAGUAGGCGGCAUGGUAAGCCAGAUGUGAAAGCCUUGGGCUUAACCCGAGGAUUGCAUUUGGAACUAUCAAGCUAGAGUACAGGAGAGGAAAGCGGAAUUCCUAGUGUAGCGGUGAAAUGCGUAGAUAUUAGGAAGAACACCAGUGGCGAAGGCGGCUUUCUGGACUGAAACUGACGCUGAGGCACGAAAGCGUGGGGAGCGAACAGGAUUAGAUACCCUGGUAGUCCACGCUGUAAACGAUGAGUGCUAGGUGUCGGGGAGGAAUCCCCGGUGCCGCAGCUAACGCAAUAAGCACUCCACCUGGGGAGUACGACCGCAAGGUUGAAACUCAAAGGAAUUGACGGGGGCCCGCACAAGCGGUGGAGCAUGUGGUUUAAUUCGAAGCAACGCGAAGAACCUUACCAAGGCUUGACAUCCCGAUGACAGGUGUAGAGAUACGCUUUCCCUUCGGGGCAUCGGAGACAGGUGGUGCAUGGUUGUUGUCAGCUCGUGUCGUGAGAUGUUGGGUUAAGUCCCGCAACGAGCGCAACCCUUACCCUUAGUAGCCAUCAUUAAGUUGGGCACUCUAGGGGGACUGCCGUGGAUAACACGGAGGAAGGUGGGGAUGACGUCAAAUCAUCAUGCCCCUUAUGUCUUGGGCUACACACGUGCUACAAUGGCUGGCAACAAAGUGAAGCGAGACGGCGACGUUAAGCAAAUCACAAAAACCCAGUCCCAGUUCGGAUUGCAGUCUGCAACUCGACUGCAUGAAGCUGGAAUCGCUAGUAAUCGCGAAUCAGAAUGUCGCGGUGAAUACGUUCCCGGGCCUUGCACACACCGCCCGUCA
This 1394-nucleotide ribosomal RNA is filed under the name uncultured bacterium. RNAcentral's name for it is "bacterial SSU rRNA". It matches the Rfam family "Bacterial small subunit ribosomal RNA". The record is from RNAcentral.